This 465-nucleotide ribosomal RNA is filed under the name uncultured bacterium. RNAcentral's name for it is "bacterial SSU rRNA". It matches the Rfam family "Bacterial small subunit ribosomal RNA", at positions 8 to 470 of the family's 1533-position model. The record is from RNAcentral.
AGAGUUUGAUCCUGGCUCAGAUUGAACGCUGGCGGGAUGCUUAACACAUGCUAGUCGCACGGUAACAGGUCCUUCGGGAUGCUGACGAGUGGCGGACGGGUGAGUAACGCGUGGGAAUCUGCCCACUACUGGGGGACAACCCGGGGAAACCCGGGCUAAUACCGCAUACACCCUACGGGGGAAAGCGGGGGACCUUCGGGCCUCGGGCUUUUGGAUGAGCACCACAUCCAAUUACCUAGUCGGUCUGGUAACCGCCUACCUAGGAUACAAUCGUGCGCUGGCCUGAUUACGACCAUCUGCCGCACUGGAACUGACACGCGCUCCAUACUCCUACACGAGGCUCCCAUAGGGAAUUUUGGACUACGCCCGCCAGCCUGAUCCAACAGUAUCUCCUGCGUGAAGGACGUCUGCAGGUUGUCAAAGACCUUUUGAUAAGGAAGAACCGCGGAGCGUUAACAUCGCUCU